ACGCUCGACACCUACGGGAGCAGCAGUGGGGAAUAUUGCACAAUGGGGGAAACCCUGAUGCAGCGAUGCCGCGUGAAGGAAGAAGUAUCUCGGUAUGUAAACUUCUAUCAGCAGGGAAGAAAAUGACGGUACCUGACUAAGAAGCCCCGGCUAACUACGUGUCAGCAGCCGCGGUAAUCUGAGCGGGCUGGCAAGGC
This 197-nucleotide ribosomal RNA is filed under the name uncultured bacterium. Its description in RNAcentral is "partial 16S ribosomal RNA". It matches the Rfam family "Bacterial small subunit ribosomal RNA", at positions 328 to 539 of the family's 1533-position model. The record is from RNAcentral.